CAGGCCUAACACAUGCAAGUCGAGCGGUAACAUUUCUAGCUUGCUAGAAGAUGACGAGCGGCGGACGGGUGAGUAACGCGUAGAAAUCUACCUAGUAGUGGGGGAUAGCCCAGAGAAAUUUGGAUUAAUACCGCAUACGCCCUACGGGGGAAAGCGGGGGAUCUUCGGACCUCGUGCUAUUAGAUGAGUCUGCGUCGGAUUAGCUUGUUGGUGAGGUAAUGGCUCACCAAGGCGACGAUCCGUAGCUGGUCUGAGAGGAUGACCAGCCACACUGGAACUGAGACACGGUCCAGACUCCUACGGGAGGCAGCAGGUGGGGAAUAUUGCACAAGUGGGCGCAAGCCUGAUGCAGCCAUGCCGCGUGUGUGAAGAAGGCCGUUAGGGUUAGUAAAGCUACUUUCAGCAGUGAGGAAAGGGGUGUCGUUAAUAGCGCCAUCCUGUGACGUUAACUGCAGAAGAAGGACCGGCUAACUCCGUG
RNAcentral lists this ribosomal RNA (478 nucleotides) under uncultured bacterium. RNAcentral's name for it is "bacterial SSU rRNA". It matches the Rfam family "Bacterial small subunit ribosomal RNA", at positions 43 to 507 of the family's 1533-position model. The record is from RNAcentral.